RNAcentral lists this ribosomal RNA (116 nucleotides) under uncultured Acidobacteriota bacterium. RNAcentral describes it as "uncultured Acidobacteria bacterium partial 16S small subunit ribosomal RNA". It matches the Rfam family "Bacterial small subunit ribosomal RNA", at positions 335 to 450 of the family's 1533-position model. The record is from RNAcentral. Lineage: Bacteria; Pseudomonadati; Acidobacteriota.
ACUCCUACGGGAGGCAGCAGUGGGGAAUUUUGCGCAAUGGGGGAAACCCUGAUGCAGCAACGCCGCGUGGAGGAUGAAGUCCUUUGGGUUGUAAACUCCUUUCGACCGGGACGAUA